GAUGAACGCUGGCGGCGUGCCUAAUACAUGCAAGUCGAGCGAACGGACGAGAAGCUUGCUUCUCUGAUGUUAGCGGCGGACGGGUGAGUAACACGUGGAUAACCUACCUAUAAGACUGGGAUAACUUCGGGAAACCGGAGCUAAUACCGGAUAAUAUUUUGAACCGCAUGGUUCAAAAGUGAAAGACGGUCUUGCUGUCACUUAUAGAUGGAUCCGCGCUGCAUUAGCUAGUUGGUAAGGUAACGGCUUACCAAGGCAACGAUGCAUAGCCGACCUGAGAGGGUGGUUGGCCACACUGGAACUGAGACACGGUCCAGACUCCUACGGGAGGCAGCAGUAGGGAAUCUUACGCAAUGGGCGAAAGCCUGACGGAGCAACGCCGCGUGAGUGAUGAAGGUCUUCGGAUCGUAAAACUCUGUUAUUAGGGAAGAACAUAUGUGUAAGUAACUGUGCACAUCUUGACGGUACCUAAUCAGAAAGCCACGGCUAACUACGUG
Molecule: ribosomal RNA, 497 nt
Filed under: uncultured bacterium
Lineage: Bacteria
Description: partial 16S ribosomal RNA
Rfam family: Bacterial small subunit ribosomal RNA
Source: RNAcentral